RNAcentral lists this long non-coding RNA (917 nucleotides) under Heterocephalus glaber (naked mole-rat). RNAcentral describes it as "lncRNA (ENSHGLG00100042755.1)". Lineage: Eukaryota; Metazoa; Chordata; Mammalia; Rodentia; Bathyergidae. The record is from RNAcentral.
GGCGAGCCUUCGCCCGGCUGAGGGGCCGGGUACUGCGUGCCCGGAAAGGUGGUCCGGGCCUCGAAGAGAGCUUUCGGAGGGAGGGCCGUCGGGCCAGCCGCUGUGUUCGGCUUCUUACUCAAUAAUAAUAAUUAACAAGUCUACACUUCCACGUUCUCUUGCUCGUGUAGUGCCAGGCACUGUUAGAGACUUUGAAUAAUAAUGCAAGUACUUAUUGUAAACAUGAUGUUUAUGGUGACUGAUACGUGCUAGGCACUAUGACAGAUCGUAAAUGAUAAUUAUAAAUAUAAUAAACUACCAAAUUAUUAUUUACUUAUUUUUUUGCCACUCUGGUGAUGCUUUCAAUAACAACAAACAACUGUCAUAAAUAAAAGCUGCUCCACAUUAAAUCUUUGCCAUGCAACCAGCACCGUCCUGGAUCCUUCGCUAAUAGACACCAUUUAUUCAUGCAACAAAGGCUACAGAAUACAAUGAUGAGAAAAAUUUACCUUAUUCCACCUUCCUGCUAGAAUCGAGUGAAGAGACAUCCUUUGAGUAAGUAACCACACAGAUACUGAGGCUGGCUUGCUAGAGCAGCAAUUCAUUCCCUCACCACAGUGAGGACGGCACUGUGCAGUCUCCUCCCGUUGUUUACUUUUCAAGAGUCAGACAGCAAUCUCAUCAUCAUUCCUUCACUGCUGCUGGCCAAGGGAUUCACAUGAAGCUCUCACACAUCUUGCAACAAUGAAGCAGUGACACCAGUAUUUUCCUUGGUGCACAGAUAAGGAGCCUGAGGCACAGGGAGAUCUAUUAGCCCAAGAGCACGUAGCAAGGGCUUACGGCACAGCAGGGACUCAACAGAUGUAAGAGCGAGUGAAGAAAUGAAGGAACGAAUGCAUGAAUAAAGAUCCAGGAUCACCAGUGGUGGAAGUUUCAGG